UGUGUCCCUCAGAGCCUGUCCCUCGAGGAUGUCCAGGGAAGAUGGCCCCAAAUGCUCCUCCCGGAUCUGGGCUGUCGGGGACCCGGGAUCCCUUGAAAGGUGGCUGCUCAGCCGCACGGCUGGUGAAGGAGCGCAGCUGCUGCAUUUGGGUCUCAGGACCCUUGUCCCAGCGGAGAUGCAGCCAACUGCUACUGGCCACGGAGAGAACCCCCCCAAACACACACACAGGGGAAGUUUCUGGGGAGAGAGAAAACCCAGAGCCUGGAGCUGAAACGAAGCGAAACGAAUCAUCUGCACAUCCGGCGCCGGACUGGGAAGUGACCGGAGGACAGGCCUCCAGGACCGGACCUGCC
This is a non-coding RNA of Sus scrofa (pig), 353 nucleotides long. The record is from RefSeq and is a predicted model, not a curated record. NCBI's taxonomy places the organism in Eukaryota, Metazoa, Chordata, Mammalia, Artiodactyla, Suidae.